UUCAAGUUGCUUGGAAUAUUUCAGGUAAAUGUGGCCAGAUGUUACUCACAGGUAUUCUGUGAGCACAUCCUGUGGUUCACUCUGAAAAAUGGAUUCUGUGGCUGUAUAAAUUAGGUGAAGCACAGGAAAUGUUGAACGACCACGCGUCAAGAGGAGCACAGAUGCUCUUCGGGAAACUUGGGACCAGUUGAGAAAUGCUGAAAAUCCAGCCUCUUUAUCUGUGGUUGAGGAAACUGACCCAGACAAAUUGUGACUUACCUAAGGUCAGAAUACUCAGUAUUGAGAAAGGAAGAUAAGGAGAGGAAAUGCCUUCCUGCCUAUUCUAACUCAGCUGGCCUCUCAAAUGGCUCUGGCCAUAUAUGAUAAUUCUUCACUCUUGUGUCUACUGUUGGGCUUUUCCUGCAGAAGGUCAUUGCCUUUGACUCCAUCAAACAGCUCUUCUUGAGCCUUAUUCUGAUGAAGGCUAGUGACAGAGAGAAUACACUUGAGCACUUAUCACAGGCUGCCACUCUG
This is a long non-coding RNA of Choloepus didactylus (southern two-toed sloth), 513 nucleotides long. RefSeq lists it as uncharacterized. Lineage: Eukaryota; Metazoa; Chordata; Mammalia; Pilosa; Megalonychidae. The record is from RefSeq and is a predicted model, not a curated record. The transcript has 3 exons.